Molecule: ribosomal RNA, 460 nt
Filed under: uncultured bacterium
Lineage: Bacteria
Description: partial 16S ribosomal RNA
Rfam family: Bacterial small subunit ribosomal RNA
Source: RNAcentral
CCUACGGGCGGCAGCAGUGAGGAAUAUUGGUCAAUGGACGAGAGUCUGAACCAGCCAAGUAGCGUGAAGGAUGACUGCCCUAUGGGUUGUAAACUUCUUUUAUAUGGGAAUAAAAUGUUCCACGUGUGGGAUUUUGUAUGUACCAUAUGAAUAAGGAUCGGCUAACUCCGUGCCAGCAGCCGCGGUAAUACGGAGGAUCCGAGCGUUAUCCGGAUUUAUUGGGUUUAUAGGGAGCGUAGGUGGAUUGUUAAGUCAGUUGUGAAAGUUUGCGGCUCAACCGUAAAAUUGCAGUUGAAACUGGCAGUCUUGAGUACAGUAGAGGUGGGCGGAAUUCGUGGUGUAGCGGUGAAAUGCUUAGAUAUCACGAAGAACUCCGAUUGCGAAGGCAGUUCACUGGACUGCAACUGACACUGAGGCUCGAAAGUGUGGGUAUCAAACAGGAUUAGAUACCCUUGUAGUC